Molecule: long non-coding RNA, 839 nt
Filed under: Homo sapiens (human)
Lineage: Eukaryota; Metazoa; Chordata; Mammalia; Primates; Hominidae
Description: PREDICTED lncRNA (TCONS_00175363)
Source: RNAcentral
CCAGCACGCGUUUGCUAGGAUGCCAUCCCCUGCCUCCUCCUGUCAGGACCAAAGCCCCUGAAAGUUAGGAUGGGGCUGCAUCCGGGUGCCUACAAGCACACCUGGCACACAGUGGGCACCAGCUCAGCAUCUGCUAUGAGACUGGCAGCCUCUCCCUGGCCAGAUGAAGGGACUGGAGUGGGAUUCACUGUCUGGGGUGCUGCAGGGGCUGGCCAGGCCUAGGAGGGGGCCGGUGGCGAGAGGGAGGGAGUGCUAGAGGGAAGGUGGGAGGGCUCCAGAGGGAAGGUGGGUGUGUUGGAAGGUGGGAGGGCUCCAGGAGUCAGGGCUGUGUCAGUGUGCAGUGUUCUGCCAUGGAGGCUCCCACGGAUGUCACAGGCCGUUUCGGCGGCAUGGGGCUUCUACCCGUCCUCACCUUUGCCACACGAAGGUAAACCUUCCCGGGGCCCUGCAAGCAUGGCCGCACCCACCUGGAUCAGAGCGGCCACUCCUGCCACCCAGACCAUUUUGGGAAAGCAGGAAAGGGGCUGGCCUGUCCUGGAAGGGGCAAUCCCAGGUGUGUCUGAGGAGCCAGGCUGGUGAGCAAGGCCCGUGCUAAGCAGAGAGGAUGCAUUUCAUCCCACCUUGGUGUUUAUAACGCGGGGUGCAGAGCCACGGGACAGCCUGCCCCCCAGCCGGGGCCGUGCUGUGGACGUCACGUGGCCCUGGAGGGCCUGAGCCCCCCUGCCGCCUCGUCCCGUCAGGCGCCUUGUCUUAUUAUCGGGUGUGUGAGGUGACAUUUAUCUUUGUAAACGUUCACUGUGACAUGACCCACCAGGAGCCCCUCACACGCCAUGUGUUCA